RNAcentral lists this ribosomal RNA (277 nucleotides) under uncultured bacterium. RNAcentral's name for it is "partial 16S ribosomal RNA". It matches the Rfam family "Bacterial small subunit ribosomal RNA", at positions 28 to 315 of the family's 1533-position model. The record is from RNAcentral.
GACGAACGCUUGCGACGUGCCUAAGAAAUGCAAGUCGAACGGGGUGGCAACACCCAGUGGCGAACGGUCGCGUAACACGUGGGCAACCUGCCCUGAAGUGGGGGAUAACAACCCGAAAGGGUUGCUAAUACCGCAUGUGUAUCGCCGCGGCAUCGCGGAGGAUACAAAGGAGCAAUUCGCUUCAGGAUGGGCCCGCGGCCUAUCAGCUUGUUGGUGGGGUAACGGCCUACCAAGGCUUCGACGGGUAGCUGGUCUGAGAGGACGGCCAGCCGGAUUG